UACAGAGGGGGCAAGCGUUAUUCGGAAUUAUUGGGCGUAAAGGGCGCGUAGGCGGCUUGGCACGUGGGUGGUGAAAUCCCUCGGCUUAACCGAGGAACUGCCGUCCAAACUGCUUCGCUUGAGACCGGGAGAGGUGAGUGGAAUUCCCAGUGUAGCGGUGAAAUGCGUAGAUAUUGGGAGGAACACCAGUGGCGAAGGCGGCGCACUGGACCGGUACUGACGCUGAUGCGCGAAAGCGUGGGGAGCAAACGGG
This 253-nucleotide ribosomal RNA is filed under the name uncultured bacterium. Its description in RNAcentral is "partial 16S ribosomal RNA". It matches the Rfam family "Bacterial small subunit ribosomal RNA", at positions 524 to 776 of the family's 1533-position model. The record is from RNAcentral.